GCCAGAGUGUUUGCCUACAGUGGCAGAAACCUGAAUCUUUUGGUUAUCUUCGUUGAACUCGGACUUCGGUUCCAGAGGUUUCUGGAUGAUCAAGAUUACCUACGUAUAGUGGAUUUUGUUUGAAUUUCGUUUCCAAGGACCAAGCUGGCAGCUUCCUGUUUUCCUCCGUCUCCUGAACCAAGGCAUAAGCGUACCCUGUCCACCCUCCAACGCAAGUACCUGAACAUUGAACUAACUCCUGACUUCACCAAAGCUCAUUGAACAGCACAUGAGAAACCAUCUGGAUUACUACACUUCGUAAACCACUUCGAAUCCCUCUACCCCUGGCGACCUGACUGCACUUACUUAUUGGCGAUUCUACCUUUGACGUUCCAGUCUCACUUUUUGUAAAUCACCUCUCACUGAUUCAGUUGUCCUUCAGAGUGUUCUUCUGUAUGUGGGUCAGAUCUAUUAUGAAAACAAUGACACAAAGUCAGAGCAUCCAAACUGGCAGAUUUCAUACAUUUACUUGAGACUUGACUCGGGACUUGGGUGGAAAGAUUUGGAACUUACUUGUGACUUGUUAAACCAUGACCUGGUCCCACCUCUGCAAAAACCUGUUUCUGGAAUCCUUGGCUUCAACAAAAGCCAUAAAGUGUUAGCAAUAACUGGUCAAUUCUUUUACAUCACUGUUUUACAUCACCUUGGAGGAAUUUUGUCCCACUAUUUAAUCCAGAAUUACUAUCAUUCUGCCACAUUGAAGGGCUUUUGAGCAUGAACAGGCUGUUUAAGUCACGCCACAGCAUCUUAGUCAGAUUUAAGUACAGACUUUGACUUGGCCAGUUUUGUGAAAUUCAGAGGUAGAUUUGCAGGUGUGCUUUGGAUCCUUGUCCCAAUGCAUAACCCAAAUGUCCUUGGGUUUACAGCCAUAAGCUAAGGGCAGGUUAUUCUCCUUCAGGAUUUUCUGCUGGAUAAACAAUUCAUGGUUCUAUCGAUUACGGUAAGUUAUCCAGGUUCUAAAAAAGCAAAUCAACCCCAGACCAUCACUGUACCGCCACUAUGUCUGACUGUUUGUAUUGUGUUCUUUUCCUGAAAUGCUGUUUUACACCAGAUGCAACAGGACCCAUGCCUUCCAAAAAGUCUCACUUUUUGGCAAUUAUUGCACAGAAUAGUUUUCAAAAAUUCAUUAAAAACGUCAAUAUGUAUUUUGGAAAAUGUGGGACAGAGCCUUUUCUUGUUGAAACAUGAACAGAGUAAUUUAGGUAAGCUGGCCUCUCCUUUUGAAGGUUUCUCACUGAUCACUAUUUUCUUGUUUAAGCUUCAGACAUUUCUUUGCGACAUUUUAUAGACCGUUAAAUAUCAUUGACCUUUUGAGAUCUUUUAGCAAAUCUUAUGUUGUCAGACAGGUUCCAUUGAAAUGAUUUCUUGAAUCUUCAGGCAGGCACUAAUAAGGUAUAGGCGUGGUUAGUAAAACUGAAGCUAAAAAUCAUUUGGAUAGCCCUUUUCCUUAAGAAAUAUAUCCAUAAUUUCAAAAUGGCCUUGUUUCAUUUCUUUAGGUUAUCUCAUUUUUUAAUUAAAAUGAUAAUCUAAAACAUAUUAGUGUGAAAACAACCAAACAGAGGAAAUUUGUUUUCACAGCCCUGUAUAUAAAUUUAUAUCUCUGGCCCUACACUGGAUUGGCCAUCUGUUCUUAAAAUGGGAAAACAGUAGCAUAUGCACUGAGCUUUGUCAAACUAACAAAAGAAGAGGCAGUGCUUGAGAAUUUGCUGCCUGUUUGCUAACAUGCAAAGAAGCAUCAGCUUUAUAAUAUGAGCCUGCUGUGUCAAGCCUUUGUGUGAAUGGAAUGUAUGGAGCCAGGAAUGUCAGCUUGUUUGACACCUUUACUCUUUGGCAUGUUAAAGCUUUGAAGACCAGUUGACCUGAACUUUCUUAUAGUGGUACGCAAAACAUGCUGUACACUGUUUGAGGUGGUCAUUAUCCUUUGUAGCCCCUAACAGGUCGAACAACACUGGCACAAUAAAUACUUCUUAUCUAGAUUGAUGGAGCAAAUAAUUUUCUUAGGUUUGCCACUGUUAUCAUUAUGCUUUAAACAUUUGCUUGCAUCUUGUGUUGUUUUUUCCAGGUCUAGACUUGACUCCAGGGAAUGAUAAUGAAUGACUUUCUACACUGAAAAAAGUGUAACAAACCUGUUGUCCAUUUAAUAUGAUUUUUCUCUUUCCAGUAGUUGAAGAACAUGACUUUCCUCAAAUAAACUAAACAUUUUAAGUUA
This is a long non-coding RNA of Girardinichthys multiradiatus, 2248 nucleotides long. RefSeq lists it as uncharacterized. The transcript has 3 exons. Lineage: Eukaryota; Metazoa; Chordata; Actinopteri; Cyprinodontiformes; Goodeidae. The record is from RefSeq and is a predicted model, not a curated record.